AAUAAAAUGGCUGAGUUGUAAGCGAUAAAUUGUAAAUUUAUUAACAAGAAAAAUUUCUUUUUUAUUA
RNAcentral lists this transfer RNA (67 nucleotides) under Matsumuraeses phaseoli. RNAcentral's name for it is "tRNA-Tyr". It matches the Rfam family "tRNA". Rfam says of the family: Transfer RNA (tRNA) molecules are approximately 80 nucleotides in length. Their secondary structure includes four short double-helical elements and three loops (D, anti-codon, and T loops). Further hydrogen bonds mediate the characteristic L-shaped molecular structure. tRNAs have two regions of fundamental functional importance: the anti-codon, which is responsible for specific mRNA codon recognition, and the 3' end, to which the tRNAs corresponding amino acid is attached (by aminoacyl-tRNA synthetases). tRNAs cope with the degeneracy of the genetic code in two manners: having more than one tRNA (with a specific anti-codon) for a particular amino acid; and 'wobble' base-pairing, i.e. permitting non-standard base-pairing at the 3rd anti-codon position. The record is from RNAcentral. Lineage: Eukaryota; Metazoa; Arthropoda; Insecta; Lepidoptera; Tortricidae.